RNAcentral lists this ribosomal RNA (253 nucleotides) under uncultured bacterium. RNAcentral describes it as "partial 16S ribosomal RNA". It matches the Rfam family "Bacterial small subunit ribosomal RNA", at positions 524 to 776 of the family's 1533-position model. The record is from RNAcentral.
UACGUAGGGUGCGAGCGUUAAUCGGAAUUACUGGGCGUAAAGCGUGCGCAGGUGGUUGUGCAAGACAGAUGUGAAAUCCCCGGGCUUAACCUGGGAAUGGCAUUUGUGACUGCACGGCUAGAGUGUGUCAGAGGGGGGUAGAAUUCCACGUGUAGCAGUGAAAUGCGUAGAUAUGUGGAGGAAUACCGAUGGCGAAGGCAGCCCCCUGGGAUAACACUGACGCUCAUGCACGAAAGCGUGGGGAGCAAACAGG